RNAcentral lists this unclassified non-coding RNA (379 nucleotides) under uncultured Alphaproteobacteria bacterium. RNAcentral describes it as "contains 16S-23S intergenic spacer region". Lineage: Bacteria; Pseudomonadati; Pseudomonadota; Alphaproteobacteria. The record is from RNAcentral.
UCCUACUUGUCAUAGGCAGUUUCCUUAGAGUACCCACCAUAACGUGCUGGUAACUAAGGAUGAGGGUUGCGCUCGUUGCGGGACUUAACCCAACAUCUCACGACACGAGCUGACGACAGCCAUGCAACACCUGUCUCUACGUCCCUUGCGGGAAAGAAUCCAUCUCUGGAAACCGUCGUAGGAUGUCAAAGGUAGGUAAGGUUUUUCGCGUAGCAUCGAAUUAAACCACAUGCUCCACCGCUUGUGCGGGUCCCCGUCAAUUCCUUUGAGUUUUAAUCUUGCGACCGUACUCCCCAGGCGGGAUGCUUAUCGCGUUAGCUGCAACACCGAAGGGCAAGCCCCCCAACGUCUAGCAUCCAUCGUUUACAGCGUGGACUAC